AAAGGGGGUGUUCCACAUUAUUAAGCAGAGCACAUCGAAUCAAGAGCAGCUGCUAAAAUACCAUUACAUAGCCAAUAUUAUAUUACUUAUUCAUUAUAAGAGUGUGCAAGUGAAGUCAGCACUGUGUUUCAUACAGUGCUACAAUAUAACACACCUGCCUACUGAAUGUCCAGUUUCUAGAGUCUUAUUAUUUAUCUGCUAUACCAGAUUAAAGUGCCAGCGAACGUUAACAGCCAAAACCAAGUGGAGGCAGAUUCAGACAACACGCUCUGCCUAAAGGAUUUUCUGAAGGUGAAGGCAACAUAUUUUCUGCAGCCAAAGAUCUUGGACAGCUCUCCUAAGCUCAAACACAGAGAGCUUUAAAAUGAACUCCCGCUGGAUUCCUCGCACCUGCAUCCUUCAGCUCGUGAUCUGGAAAUACAAGAUCACAGCUCUCGGUCUUUGAGGAUGCAUGAAUUAAAAAAGACAAACCAGGGCACAUACUGUGAAAGAUUUUUUUUAAAAUUCUCCAGUAAUUUGUAUUUGUCAGUGGUGGACAAAGUACUGAAAAAAUCACCUGAAAAAAGAUCACCUCAACCCAAUUUUGAAAAAAGUGCUGAGAUUUUGAAAAUUUGGAGGAAGCCCAUACACACAUUGUGGAGAAUGUGCACAGGAACAGAUACAAUUCAGCAGAUAUCCUUUUUUUUAAACUGAUUUUCUUUUAAACUUACUGCACACCAAUAUAUACUGUAAAAUCUCAUGUGAUCUGACUCAUGUCUUCGACUGUAACAAACAUGAUCUGUUCUUGUUACAGAUUUUACAUUUUUGAGGUUUUAUUGAUGUUCAGUCAUUUACUUUCUAUUUAGAAAUGUCAAUAUUGUUGAGUACCAUUAGGUUUACUGGAAGGUUGUCUAUAGCAGAGAAAUUAUCUGAAAGAGAAAGAUGAGCUGUGUGUGUGUGUGUUCCAAAGGUAUGAAAGUGUUUCAAGAUUUCAUUCAAGUGUAUUGUAAAGGAAGUUCCCUUGGUAAUGUGCAACAAUUCUGUAAGCAAAUACCAUCACCAUUCCAUCAUAACUCUCUUACAAGUCAUACCUAACAAUUUGUCUCUGUUGAGCUAUAUAUGCUACCCCCAAGCUCCCAGUGUUCAGAUUUCCUAACCUGAUCGUCUCUUCUUACGGAGCAAUUUCGUCAAUCCCGAUGUUAUGCCGCUGGCUGGAGUCUUGAUCUGCAUGGUCAGCCAGUGUCCUUUAGAUUGAUGUGUAGGAAGCCACCCGUAGACUUUCAUGCCUUCUUUGAACCAAUGUUGUGUCAGUCAGCUGUAUGGUCUGGUCUUUAUCAGCAAUCAGUGUCACAGAAAUGAG
Tachysurus fulvidraco (yellow catfish) is the source of this 1339-nucleotide long non-coding RNA. RefSeq lists it as uncharacterized. The transcript has 4 exons. The record is from RefSeq and is a predicted model, not a curated record. NCBI's taxonomy places the organism in Eukaryota, Metazoa, Chordata, Actinopteri, Siluriformes, Bagridae.